GGGAAUCUGCCUUUUGGUUUGGAAUAACACGGGGAAACUUGUGCUAAUACCGAAUAAGCCCUUACGGGAAAGUUUUAAUGCCGAAAGAUGAGCCCGCACUUGAUUAGCUAGUUGGUAAGGUAAAAGCUUACCAAGGCAAUGAUCAAUAGCUGUUCUUAGAGGAAGACCAGCCACAUUGGGACUGAGACACGGCCCAGACUCCUACGGGAGGCAGCAGUGGGGAAUCUUGCACAAUGGGGGAAACCCUGAUGCAGCGAUGCCGCGUGAGUGAAGAAGGCCUUUGGGUUGUAAAACUCUUUCGUCGGGGAAGAAAAUGACUGUACCCGAAUAAGAAGGUCCGGCUAACUUCGUGCCAGCAGCCGCGGUAAUACGAAGGGACCUAGCGUAGUUCGGAAUUACUGGGCUUAAAGAGCUCGUAGGUGGUUAAAAUAGUUGAUGGUGAAAUCCCAAGGCUCAACCUUGGAACUGCCAUCAAAACUUUUUAGCUAGAGUGUGAUAGAGGUAAGUGGAAUUUCUAGUGUAGAGGUGAAAUUCGUAGAUAUUAGAAAGAACACCAAAUGCGAAGGCAACUUACUGGGUCACUACUGACACUGAGGAGCGAAAGCAUGGGUAGCGAAGAGGAUUAGAUACCCUCGUAGUCCAUGCCGUAAACGAUGUGUGCUAGACGUUGGAAAUAUAUUUUUCAGUGUCGCAGCGAAAGCAUUAAGCACA
This 711-nucleotide ribosomal RNA is filed under the name uncultured Alphaproteobacteria bacterium. Its description in RNAcentral is "bacterial SSU rRNA". It matches the Rfam family "Bacterial small subunit ribosomal RNA", at positions 120 to 868 of the family's 1533-position model. Lineage: Bacteria; Pseudomonadati; Pseudomonadota; Alphaproteobacteria. The record is from RNAcentral.